RNAcentral lists this ribosomal RNA (285 nucleotides) under uncultured Desulfobulbus sp. RNAcentral's name for it is "partial 16S ribosomal RNA". It matches the Rfam family "Bacterial small subunit ribosomal RNA", at positions 1097 to 1382 of the family's 1533-position model. The record is from RNAcentral. Lineage: Bacteria; Pseudomonadati; Thermodesulfobacteriota; Desulfobulbia; Desulfobulbales; Desulfobulbaceae.
CGCAACCCUUGCCUUUAGUUGCCAGCAGUUCGGCUGGCGACUCUAAAGGGACUGCCGGUGUUAAACCGGAGGAAGGUGGGGAUGACGUCAAGUCCUCAUGGCCUUUAUGACCAGGGCUACACACGUACUACAAUGGCCGAUACAAAGGGCAGCGACACUGCGAGGUGAAGCCAAUCCCGUAAAAUCGGUCUCAGUCCGGAUUGGAGUCUGCAACUCGACUCCAUGAAGUUGGAAUCGCUAGUAAUCGUGGAUCAGCAUGCCGCGGUGAAUACGUUCCCGGGCCUU